GACGUAGGGGGCAAGCGUUGUCCGGAAUCAUUGGGCGUAAAGAGCGCGUAGGCGGCCCAGUAAGUCCGCUCUGAAAGUCAGGGGCUCAACCCCUGAAUGCGGGUGGAUACUGUCGGGCUAGAGUCCGGAAGAGGCGAGUGGAAUUCCUGGUGUAGCGGUGAAAUGCGCAGAUAUCAGGAGGAACACCGAUGGCGAAGGCAGGUCUCUGGGCCGAUACUGACGUGAGGAGCGAAAGCGUGGGGAGCGAACAGG
Molecule: ribosomal RNA, 252 nt
Filed under: uncultured bacterium
Lineage: Bacteria
Description: partial 16S ribosomal RNA
Rfam family: Bacterial small subunit ribosomal RNA
Source: RNAcentral